Non-coding RNA from Nanorana parkeri, 410 nucleotides. The record is from the annotation of a RefSeq genome assembly. Lineage: Eukaryota; Metazoa; Chordata; Amphibia; Anura; Dicroglossidae.
GAUCUGUGUGUGUGUGACAGACCAGACACAUCAAGAUGCUUCCUCUGACAUAUCUACUCUGUGUCUUUUAUGUCUACAUCCAAGGAUCCUGUGGACAGAUUGUGAUGACUCAGACUCCGGAUUCUAUCUCUGUGUCCCCGGGACAGACAGUCACCUUCACAUGUACAUCUAGUAAAAAUCUUUAUUACUCUGCAGCAAGUGCUCACUUGAUAGCCUGGUACCAACAGAAAACAGAUCAACCUCCUAAACUCCUCUUGUAUCACACCAGUAGCCGAGCAUCUGGGAUUCCAGAUAGGUUCAGUGGAUCUGGAUCAGGAACUCAAUUCACAAUGACGAUACAGGGAGUGAGUGAAGAGGAUGAAGGACGUUAUUACUGUCAGCAGGCUCGUGAGGACCCUCUCACACAGUGA